AAUGAUGUAUUCGGUGAACAGUGAUAUCGUAAAUUU
Molecule: non-coding RNA, 36 nt
Filed under: Trypanosoma brucei brucei
Lineage: Eukaryota; Euglenozoa; Kinetoplastea; Trypanosomatida; Trypanosomatidae
Source: RNAcentral